CCGCCGCCUCGGGCGGGCUCGGAUGGAGGACUCGGACUCGGCGGUGAAGCAGCUGGGCUUGGCCGAGGCGGCGGCGGUAGCGGCGGCGGCGGUGGCCGCAGCAGUGGCCGCGGAAGGAUCCGAGCACCAGCGGGCGGAGGCGACGGGCUUGGAGGCGGAGCCUGAGGAGGAGGAGGCAGCGGCGCAGGUGACGGCGGUGACCGUGAUGGCGGCGGAUGCCGAACACAUCGAGAUGGGAGCCGAGUCCCUGCCGAGCGCGGACGAGGCUGCCGCCGCCUUCGCAGAAGUGACAACAGUAACGGUAGCCAAUGUGGGUGCCUCUGCAGACAAUGUCUUUACUACAUCGGUGGCAAAUGCUGCAUCUAUAUCUGGACAUGUGCUGUCUGGCAGAACAGCUCUUCAAAUUGGGGACAGCUUGAAUACAGAAAAAGCCACUCUGAUAGUGGUUCACACAGAUGGCAGCAUUGUAGAAACCACCGGGCUGAAGGGACCCUCUGCACCUCUCACACCAGGUUCUCAGUCUCCUCCCACUCCCUUAACACCUGGCCAAGAAAAAAAUGGCACAAAGUAUAACUGGGACCCAUCAGUGUAUGACAGUGAACUCCCUGUGCGAUGCCGGAAUAUCAGCGGAAUCCUGUAUAAAAACAGGCUUGGUUCAGGAGGCCGGGGCCGAUGUAUUAAGCAAGGGGAGAACUGGUACAGCCCCACUGAGUUUGAAGCCAUGGCAGGAAGAGCCAGCAGCAAAGAUUGGAAAAGAAGCAUCCGCUAUGCAGGGAGGCCACUGCAGUGCCUUAUUCAUGAUGGGAUUUUAAAUCCUCAUGCUGCCUCAUGCACUUGUGCUGCCUGCUGUGAUGACAUGACCUUGAGUGGCCCGGUACGAUUGUUUGUCCCUUAUAAAAGGCGAAAAAAGGAAAACGAGUUGCCGACAACUCCAGUGAAAAAGGACUCUCCCAAAAACAUCACCCUGCUUCCUGCUACUGCUGCUACCACUUUCACCGUGACUCCUUCAGGACAGAUCACUACUUCUGGUGCUCUGACCUUCGACCGUUCAUCAACUGUGGAGGCCACAGCUAUCAUCUCAGAAAGUCCAUCCCAGGGUGAUGUAUUCGCUGGCGCCACUGUUCAAGAUACUACUGUCCAGCAACCUUGCCGUGUCAGCCAUCCAGAACCUCACUAUCCAAGUUAUCAGGACAAUUGUCAGAUUUCACCUUUUCCAGAAGCUGCACUGCCAACUUCCCAUCCCAAAAUAGUGUUGACGUCCCUUCCUGCCCUGGCUGUGCCACCCACUACCCCCACCAAAGCCAUAUCCCCCUCAGUAGUGAAUGGACUAGAGAUGACCGAGCAACGGAGCUGGCUAUACCUGGAGGAGAUGGUCAACUCCUUACUGAACACAGCCCAGCAACUGAAGACCCUGAUUGAACAGGCUAAACAGGCCAGCUCCUCCUUCCGGGAGGCUGCUGUUACUCAAGCGAAAAUCCAAGCCGACGUGGAGAGGAAAGAGUUUAUGCCCUGUCUUCCCUCAGGGCUCCCAGAUGAAGAAGGCUGGUUGGGGCUCUCAUUAGAAGGUCAUUGAUGCUACACACACUUUAUAUAAAGGCAUCUCUGAUGGCAAUACAGACUGCUACGCUCCCACCAGGGCCGCGUUUACUCACUUCACUAUGCUGCUCCUAUUCUCUGCUGGCACAGGAAGUGAGGGAUCAAAUCCAGCUGUUGCACAGCAGUUCAGAGCGCUAAUUUACAGGGCAACUGCUGUCAGCCUGUGAGAGAGAGUGACUUUUUCUCAGUAACAUACACCCCUAGCUGUACCAUCUCUGGCACUUACAUUCUUAUUUUGUAAUAUGUUGUUGAUACUUGUGCUGCUGAGCGGGACUGUAUUCUUUUGAGAAAUUGUGUAGGUAAUGUGGUCAUUUGUAUUGACCCUUAAUAACAAUUGUAAAACGCUUACUUUUCUGGCUGCACAGAUCCCUUUACCUAACCAGAAAAAAUACUAAUUUACUUUUGGGCCUGCAUUACCAGAAAUGCUGACUGUAUCUCACCUCUGUUCAGAAUCACCACCAGUUUUGUGCAAUCUCUUUGCAGUGCUACGUUUUAAGUAUUUUGAAAUGAAAGAUCUUUUCAUUAGAUAAGAAAUGCAGAGCAAGCCCAAAUAAGGGAUUAAACCAGAACAGAGCUAUGGAGUCAGAUCUUCCUGGAAUAUGGAUUUGGCACAUAGGAUUAAAGAAAAAAUCUACUAAAUUGGAAAUCAGCCUGCUUCCACUAAUAGGUUGUUCAGUAACAAGCUUUGCUGCUACAGCUAUUAAUACAAGCUUCACUCUUUGCACAUCUGCAGAACUGUUGCUCAGUUCAGCGACCUGACUCUUAUAUUGGCAUUUGACACCUUAUAUGUAAUGCUUAGUUUAGCUGAAGUGUACAUUCACUGCAAAACUUAUCCAGCCAAUAAUAAUUGGAAUUGGUGCUUCCAGGUUUAUCUAAAUUAACUUUUUCAGCAAAUGCCUUCUGGAAGAAAUCAGAGACAAGGUGGGAGAGGUAAUAUCUUUUACUGGACCAACUUCUCUUAGUGAAAUAGGCAAGCUUUUGAGCUUAAACAGAGCUCUUCUUGAGGUCUGUGGAAGGCACACAGAGCAUCACAGCUAAAUACAAUGUGGAACGGAUUGUUAAGUGUAAGGAGUUAAUGCAUGUUGCAAGAAAUCAUUCAAGGUGAAGUGUGCGGUUAACACCUCUGCAGGAUGGUUACUGGGUUACGGAUUAUUGUAGUGAGCCAUAAAUCCAGUGUCUUUAUUGAGUUCAUGAUUUUUAGUGUUUAAUGGAACCAACUGCAAUAACUUCUGGAAAAAAUGAAAACCCAGCUAAAACAUAUAAUAAAAGCAUGUGGCAUUAUUGGUAAAUAUAUUUAAGCAAAACAAAUCUGGAUUAUUUUUCAUGUAGUUAUUUCUUGAUUUUUAUUUACUCUAGUGAAUUUCACUAUAGGGAAGAGCUCAGGGUGCAUGGACAGGGAGCAUAACAUUUUUUGAGAGUAAUUAAAAUAAAUGCCAGUUGGGCUUUCCGCUUUCAAUUGUGUUGGUCAAAUACUAUCUGGACCUGACAGUGUUGAAAGCCAGUUGCCUAAUCUGUAAUACAAGAACCUUUUCUAGCUGAUGUAAUCUUUCUGAUACUUAGGAUGAGUGUGGGUUGGGGAUCUUGCUGAUACUGCUCCAUCACAAGUAACUGCUACGCUAAUUGAGUUUUCAGAUCUCCACAGUUCAGUGUUGGACAAGAACCGUUUUUUGUAAAUAUCUACUUUUUGCAUGAACCAGCUAAAUGUAAAGAGAAUCCAUUCUGCAGCAGUACCUGGAAUUGAGCAGAGCGAAUGUGCAUUUGCUACAUUCAGAGAAUCCCCAGGGGUUAAUGUAGACAAAUCAGGAGGGACUUUCAUUGGUUUUCAUUACCAGAAAUGCUGACUGUAGUAGCUAUCUCACCUCUGUUCAGGAUCACCACCAGUUUUGUGCAAUCUCUUUGCAGCGCUACGUUUUAAGUAUUUUGAAAUGAAAGAUCUUUUCAUUAGAUAAGAAAUGCAGAGCAAGCCCAAAUAAGGGAUUAAACCAGAACAGAGCUAUGGAGUCAGAUCUUCCUGGAAUAUGGAUUUGGCACAUAGGAUUAAAGAAAAAAUCUACUAAAUUGGAAAUCAGCCUGCUUCCACUAAUAGGUUGUUCAGUAACAAGCUUUGCUGCUACAGCUGUUAAUACAAGCUUCACUCUUUGCACAUCUGCAGAACUGUUGCUCAGUUCAGCGACCUGACUCUUAUAUUGGCAUUUGACACCUUAUAUGUAAUGCUUAGUUUAGUUGAGGUGUACAUUCACUGGCAGGAGAAGAAAGCAAACUGGAAAGCUUUCCCAUGUAUUACUUUUGAUUUAGUCUUUUUGGAUAGGGAGAAAUAAUGAAGCGGUGUUGAGAGCCGCUAGUCCUGUAUAACACAUAGAUAUCACUAUUAAAGACUGGCUAAUCCUUAAAUAUUGCAAAUGAACCACGCAGUUUCCAAAUGACAGCAAUUUAAUUGGUGUUGCUGAAGUGAAUCAAGCUGUGCCAUCUACAGUAAAGGGAUAUUUGCUUUUCUUGUGUUGAGAUCUGUAGAAUUCAUAACCACGUGAAAGACAGACUUCCACUUCCAGUCGUCGUGGACUGAAAGAGAGAUUUGUGCUGGGGAUAGGUCUUCGUUUGUUACUUGACCAUUGAUUGAAAAAACGUGUGCAGUCAGAUUAUUGACAUAGACCUUCCUUCUGAUAUUCUGUACUAAUGUUACUGUCUGAUGGUUCAUUUGAGUCACUGGAAUGCAUUUUUUACAAUCUUUUUUUAAGGGGUGGAGGUUGCAGAGAGAGAAUUUUUGGGAAAGGGGACUUGCUAAAUGUAGCAAAUAAAAAUAUAUUCAGCAUUGUGUCAUAUAAAUUGAUGAAAGCCAGCAAAACAGGCUUUAGGCUGCAGUUCGUUCUUUAAAUUGGUCUGUUGUGUCUGAGUUGGGCAGGAGUGUUAGAUCACUGGGUAUACUUAGGAACCUGUGGCAAUUGCUAGACACUAGAUAGUUCAAGUCAGUGUGUGGGUUUAAGGCUGGACUGUAGAGCUUUUAGAAAGAAAAUUCAUCCAGAUACAGUAAUGGAAUAUAUAUGUAGACAACACAUGUUCACAUUUUUAAAAGGAAUAUUCGAAAAUCCAUUCCUCUAUCACAUAUCUCCCAAAUCCUGUGUUCAGGUGUUUAUUUGCCUCUGGCCAAUGAUAGCAUCACAGAUCUCUUGCUCAUAGCAGGAAAAUGCUCCAGAUGUUUGUGAAGCCCUCAGCUGUUACAUGGAAAUGUAGAAUCACAAACUCCAAACUUGUAAGCUGAACAUCUCAAAUAUUUUCUUUCAAGAUAUAAUUGUAAUUUUUAAGCCUACAUAUAUAUUCAGGGACUAAUUCUGACUGUCCUUUUUCUUUUUUUUUAGUUGAUUUAAAUUGGCUUAAGGAGCAUGGUUUGGUGGGUAAAGUGCAGGACUGGGAGUCUAUUCCAGGUUCUAUUUUCAGCUCUGCCACAAAUUUCUUAUGUGACCUUGGCAAUAUCAAAACCAAUUAUUUCAACAAACGGAAGAUGUCGAUGGUAAAACAGAAAUCAUCAUCAAGCAGUCCUGUGUAAACUGUGGUCGGGAGGCAAUGAAUGAGUGCACCGGAUGCCAUAAAGUCAAUUACUGCUCAA
Molecule: RNA transcript, 5197 nt
Organism: Trachemys scripta elegans
Lineage: Eukaryota; Metazoa; Chordata; Testudines; Emydidae
Gene: DEAF1
Gene name: DEAF1 transcription factor
Exons: 13
Source: RefSeq, a predicted model, not a curated record